RNAcentral lists this ribosomal RNA (253 nucleotides) under uncultured bacterium. Its description in RNAcentral is "partial 16S ribosomal RNA". It matches the Rfam family "Bacterial small subunit ribosomal RNA", at positions 524 to 776 of the family's 1533-position model. The record is from RNAcentral.
UACAGAGGUCUCAAGCGUUGUUCGGAUUCAUUGGGCGUAAAGGGUGCGUAGGUGGCGCUGUAAGUCAGGUGUGAAAUCUCGGGGCUCAACCCCGAAACUGCACUUGAUACUGCGGUGCUCGAGUACUGGAGAGGAGAUUGGAAUUUACGGUGUAGCAGUGAAAUGCGUAGAUAUCGUAAGGAAGACCAGUGGCGAAGGCGAAUCUCUGGACAGUUACUGACACUGAGGCACGAAGGCCAGGGGAGCAAACGGG